Molecule: long non-coding RNA, 26824 nt
Filed under: Podarcis lilfordi (Lilford's wall lizard)
Lineage: Eukaryota; Metazoa; Chordata; Lepidosauria; Squamata; Lacertidae
Source: RNAcentral
UAGGAACACAGGAGAUGUGUGAACAGGGAUGUAGCGGAGUGACGUUCAGGAGCUUUUUCAGAGCUGGAGCAAGACCAAAAUUAUCAGAGUGGCAAGGUGACUGAAUGAAUCUCCUAUGGCAAGUAAAUGUGGUGACAAUGAGACUUUUAAGCUUGUGGCAAAUUAUCAUCAAGGGAAUCUAAGAGUGAGGAAAAUAAUCCAGCAUACUACUUUCUUUUUCUUUGGCGAGGUUCCUACUUUUCACUAACAGUUUAAAUGUCAACACAUCUGUCUGAGGUUGUUUGCGUGUCUAAUUAAAAGCUAAAGGUUGCGUUUUUAGCUAGCCAGAGGUCUUGUGUAAAAGCUCAUUGUGUUUCACAAACUGAUCCAUUGCAGUCAGAAUUCAAUGGAGUUUGCUGCCCCAGGAAACUAUACGCAGGAUUGCAAUCAUGCUGGUACUAAUAAAUUGUGUAUUAUGCAAUGUAUUACUGCCACAGAGAGAAAGAGAACAGACAGACAGACCUGCAUGGAUUUGUGGCAUGGCUACAUUGGGGCGUGACUACAGGGGCUGACAUGGUGAACUCCUGUUCUCCAAAAAAUUUCCACUGUCCCACUGAAGGGAAGCUGAAUGGAGGCAAGCAGUGGGGCUACCAGUUACUUCCCUUCAUCUGGGAACCAAAGUGGGAAUUGGCUUCAGACACAUCCUUGGUGCUAACCCUUCCCCCACCCACAGUUACAGGGUUUCUCUUCCCAAUCCUCCUUUUUGUGAAAAGGGCAAUAAUAGACUCUGCACCCACCCAGAAUGCUGUGUAUGUGAAUGGGGAAGGCACAUGCAUAAAAUGCACAUCUCUGCCCUGCCCGUCAUGUCUAGAUUGGCCUUGAGCAACUGAAAAGGUAACAUUAGCAGAGCACACAGCACAGCAAGUGUUUGGAGGCAGUUUUCCUAACAGGCUCUUCUUCCUUGGCUGCUGCAGUCAAAAGCUCCCCCUCCUGUUGCAAUCUGUCAAGAACAAACUUGUCUGUGACAGCUGUUAGCUAAAAUUGCUAACAUAUCCCACUCUUGGAGAAAACAAACACAAGGGUAAAAGCUGGCGUUCUCUGCUUUUGUGCUUUCUGAAUUCACGUACAAUAGUCAUUUUUUGGUUAGCAUUUUUAAAGAGAAUAAAAUCAAAUAGAAAGCCAUUCAUUCAGCCCGAAUAGAUUAACAGAACAUUUGAGAUGCUUUACUCAGAAUAGCAUCUGCCCAAAGCCAAGCCUCCACUGGAGAGGAGCCAAAACGUACUGUGAGAGGGUUUCACUUGAUUCUCAUGUUACUAAAAGAAACUGUUCAGUUGCUUUCUCUGGUCCUCCAUGUGCAGAAGUCCCGUAUACUUAAUACAGCGGCAAUUGUCCCUUGACAUGUAAGCAGGCUUCUUGGUUCCUUAUCUCAUCUAUGAGAAAACAAAGCAGUAUUUCUUUAUAAAGAAGAAAGCAGCCACUGUAUGAAUGGAAUAGUCACUCUUAGACUAGAGCAUAGGUGAAUGAGGUACUGUAAGUGGCACACUGAAUGAAAAUCUCUAGGCUUAAAAUAGGAUCAGAGAAGAGACAGAUACUUCACUCUAAAAGGAAGAGGACAGAAAUAAUUUUCAAAUGGUCUUGAGUGCUGGAGCAAACAAUCUAUCAGGAGUACCAUUUCAGAUUUUGAGGGAAGGGUAAGGAUGGAAAUUCACAGCAGAACUGAAAGGCCUGCUCCUUCCUGUAUACAAGAUGAUGGAGUGUGUGUCAUUUUAAAAGCAUUUCAUAAUAAUAAGAGGCACAGAACCAUUGUCAGAAACACUAGGAGGUAUGCAUGACUGUUCUUCAGUAUAUUAAUGGCAGUCCUUCCAUUGGGGGGGGGGGGUACUUUGAUUUGCAAAAACCUGAAACCACACACACACACACACACACACACACACACACCAUAAUCUGCUAUUUGACUCUCUAUGGCCAGAUCAGAUGGAAGGAAGAAGAAAAGUGAAAUGCAGGCAAAACUAAGGUUGUUUUAUUUUUCUUUUAACUUAUCCACCAUGUAUUGAGGAGGAACAUUCAAAAUGACGUGCAAUAUAGAAGAGUAAUUUUCAGUUAGAACAACUACUUUAAAUUAGUGAGAGCCAGAAGUUAUUAUAAAAAUAUUAAAAUGAGAGUCAGAGAUUUCUGCUGUGAAAUACUUGUCCAGCUCUUUAAAUUUACAACGGAUUCAUUUUUAAAGCAAAAUGGUGUGUCUGAAUGGUAACCUAUUUGAAUGGUGCAGAUGGUUGUGUUCUUCAAUCGCUCGUACAAAUCUGUAGAUCCCUUGCCACUAUCUUUCAGUCCUUAACCAGUAUUCAUGACAACCACACCUCAAUUUUCAUAGGAAGCUCCGUACUAUAGAUAUCUGAUAUGGGAACUAUUUUUAGCUGCAGGUCUGGUCUAUUUAUUUGACUGCACUGGCGUGAAUAAGCAGUAAGCAAAGAAGCUGUUUCAGAAUACGCAUUACUCGUACCACCAUGUUUUUCACUAAAAGGACCAAUGAGCUUAAAUCCUUCUUUUUUUCUUUUGUCUGAUUGAAAGAUGGAAAACUGCAGAGAUAACAUGCAAGGAACAAUACAUAAGAAAAAAUGGCAGACGGCAAACUUUUGCAUAAUGGCAAACUUUUGCAUAGUGGAAAGCAGUCCCUGAAGCGCCCUGAGAUCUUGUGAUGAAGAGUGGUAUAUAAAUAUAAUAAAUAAAUAAGCCAGAGAGAAGGCUUCGGAACACAAAUGUGAAGCUAUUCUUAUUCAUUCUACUAAUAUUUGCAGCUACUACCGGUAUAUGAUGUGAAUCUGGAGCUUUGCCUUCAGUCACCAACAGGGGGCCACCUUGUCAUGUGCACUCACUUUCCCAAACUGAAAAGUUCUAGGGGCAUUGUCCUUACCUGGAUUUGGUUUCACUUGGAAAAGGCCAGGGAUUUUCUGUCUUCAGGGCCUGCACCAGGUUUGAAGGUGCCCUACGCAACAAGGGAAAUAGCAGUAGCAGUUGCAGCUUCUUUGUCCAGCGCUUCUUUGCUCAGGUCCAUGCUAAGCAUCACCACAUGUCCCCCCCCAUAGACCGGCACUGCUAAGACAAGAUGCACUGGGUGAAACAACCCUGACAGUCGCCAUCUUCAUUUUCCCAGAUGCAUUCUGGGGAAAUGAAGAUGGAAGCAGCUGCAGGUUCACCCAGCUAAAAGCAUGCUGCCAUCCAAAUGUUUGCCUAACCAUUCUGGGUGCUGAUGUUGAGCAUGAGGGUAUUAUUUGAGUUUAUUUACAAAUAUUCGGGUUGAGCAUAGAUGGAGGCAGAUAUCUUUUUUUAAAAAACAACACUCCCACAACAAAUCCACUGGCCCUCAUCAGAUCUCCAAAGAGGCGGGCCCCAAAAUGGGUUUUCCAAUGCUCAAAGCUCUCUGACUUUCUCCGUCCCAGUCAAAAACUGCAUUACUUUUGUAUAGCAAGGGUGGUGUUCUCACAGACACAGAUCUAACUUGACAUCAUCUUUAGCUGGAAUGUGGGGGGACGGGACGGGACAGAAAGGCAUGUUUUGUUGAAAUGGCCCUCACUUUCCAGAGGUGCCCCUAGCUAUUUCCAAGCGAUUGUAUGCUAUUUACCUGUCAUUUUUCCCAGGAAAAGAUGUGCCUGGCAAUCUGGCCUACUGCCUGUUAAAGAAGUUUCAAGCUGUUGUUUGUCCCACAGCUGUUAAAGGCACAGAUGCCUUGCCAGAAAACCAAAACAAAACUGGCAAACUUCUGGAAAGGGACACACAUGGUGUGGUUUGCAUUGGACAAUGUUUUCAAAUUCUUGUGGUACAGAAAGUAUUUUGUACCUAGUAUGUGCAAAUACAAGGCACAAACAACACUUUGAACAUUGCUUUGUUUGGCAUGCUAAUGAAAUAACUAAGGCCAAAUUAUUAUUAACUGCAAAACACAUUUUGAAAGAGAUUCUUGUUUUGAUUCAGUGUUCAGCAUUGCCAGCAUAACAGAUGGUGAAGACAUUCAAUAUAAUACCCAGCACAUGUUUAAUUAAACUGGAUUUAUGUCAUUAUGACCUUUUUAGAGACUUUAGGGGGGAAAGUAGCCCCUAAGAACCAGCAAAGAAGAGGCCUUGGGUUGGGGAGUCAUUUUCACAGGAAAUGCUUAGCAAUGAGCUGUGCUGAAAAGGAGAAGAUGGGGUUGGAUCAUAGAAGUAGGAGAGGAGAAAGAAAAUAAGAGGAUCUAACAUAGCUCAGUCGGUACAGCAAGAAAUAACUCUUAAUCUCGGGGUUGUGGAUUUGAGCCCCACGUUGGGCAAAAGAUUCCAACAUUGCAGGGGGCUGAACUAGAUGACCCCUUGCAUCUCUACAAUUCUAUGAUUCAGUGGGAUAUUACACUGGCAUAGGACCAGGAGUGGCAAGGUAGCUGAGCGUCAUUUUCAAUGAUUGCUGACACUUUGCAUAUGCAAUAUGCUACAUUUUAAAUUUUAUUUCAUUUGCGUCACUGACCCACAUCCCAAAUCUCCAAAUGCUCUUGCCUGCAUUGCCACAGGCAGAUCAUCAUAAGCCUGGCUGGCUCUGCUUUCUGUCUGAGCUUCCAAAAGAAUCACCAUCCACUUCAGAGAUGCUUUAGAUGCCACAGGAGUUUGGGCUUCUACACAAGCAGCCAGUUUGGUAACAAGAAACUGGGGCCAAACUAGCAAAGUUAUGGCCCGUUUUCUAUGCUUCUUGACAGAAAGAAAGAUGCCUGGUUACAGAAUACUUCCUCUGUUUUCCAGAUCUCACACAACUGGGAUUUUAAUUCUCUCCCUGCCUAAAGUAUACAACAUAUCCUGGCCAUAGUUCUGUGCAGUUGUGACUGGUGGAGAGGCUUCCUCCAACAACCCGACAGCAGUAGAUGUGUUCAUUUCUUCUAAGCCUAUUGCAAAUCCAUGCUAUAAGCUAGCCAGUUGAUCAAGCAGUAUCACCUUUCCCUGCUACUGUAUAUCUUGGCCCUAAAUAGCUGCUAAUGUGCAUUCCCAUUAGCACCGUCAGAAUUUAACUGGAACUACCCCUGCCAAUGUACAGUCCCCACUUCACAAUUACUGUAUAUUCUUAUUCGUAAACACAAAUGCACACACGUUUUGUGGGUGCCCUGCAUCCUUAGGAAGGGGUGGGUGUGAGAAAUCACUGCCAAUGCUCUUGCUCCAGCCUCAAGACUGCUUUAGCCUGUCCACGUUCUGGUAGAAAUAAAAUUGGAAUAGUAACUCUUGGCCUGCCACCCACUCCCUACAUCCUCUCAUAGCAGGUGCAAGGGAACGUGUGCCUGCCAGCCAUGCUCCGCAUGUGUCAACACACCCACCAUCUGAUUUCCUGGCCAGUCAGCAUUCCCCAGUCAGUUGGUGGGGCUGCACAUGUGUAGAGCCCCUCUGCCAAAUGCUUGGCCGCCAGGAAGAGAAAGCACAGCUGACUUGCAAGGGCAUGGUCACUAGGAAUGUUCCCACUAACCCCAAUCAUCUCUUGCACCUGUGAAGGGACCUCAUUUGAACACCCAUUUUGUGUACCUUGGAACCUCAAAAGAGGAAUGUAGGAAGCUGCCUUAUACCAUUGCUCCAUCUUGCUCAAUAUUAUCUACACUGGCUGGCAGCAGCUCUCUGGGGUGUCAAACAGAAGUCUUUGCCCAGCCUUACCUGGAGAUGCCAGGAAUUGACCAUGGGACUUUCUGCAUGCAAAGCAGAUGCCAUACCCCUGAGCUAUGGCUCUUCCCUAAACAGGAUUUAGCUAGCUAGAGUAUGCCAGUGUUUGAACCUCUUUAGCUCACUUGUUUUGGAACAGAACUUGGAAAGAACCAAGUCUCUAUGCUUAUUUGUUCAUUUGUUUCUGUUCUUUUAAAAAAAAUUUUAAAGAAUGUUUAAAUUUUUGUAAGAGUUAUUUGCCUACAGGGGUGCUGUUGCAACUUUUAAAGAAAGCAUUAUUUGUACAAAAACAGCCUUAAGCUGCUCAAGUAAAUGAUUGACACCUGGCCAAUUAGCCAUGAUGUCAGAACCAAAUUCAAAGGCAAGGGAAAGCAGGACAUUUAUGUACACUUUCCUCCACCACAGAUCACAUAUACCGCCCAUGCUUUAUUAGAAAUAAGUGUUUCCAGACCAAGGGGAUGAUGCAUUUCUCCCAGAAUUGCAGUCUCAGCAAAUUUGCAGGACAGCCUUAAUAAAUCAACUAAAGACACAAUUAGUUUCAUGACUUGCUCAUCCUUUCAUUAUACAUUCUUGCACAAUUGUACCCAGUUGCAAGCCAUUUUGAUUCUGUAACUUCUUAUUCAUGGAAUUUCUGCAUCCAAUUAUAGGGUUGCAGCUUUCUCUCUAUCAUUCUUAGGGACGGGCUUACCGUAUUUUUCGCUCUAUAAGACGCACCAGACCAUAAGACGCACCUAGUUUUUGGAGGAGGAAAACAAGAAAAAAAUAUAUUCUGAAUCUCAGAAGCCAGAACAGCAAGAGGGAUCGCUGCACAGUGAAAGCAGCAAUCCCUCUUGCUGUUCUGGCUUCUGGGAUAGCCAUGCAGCCUGCAUUCGCUCCAUAAGACGCACACACAUUUCCCCUUACUUUUUAGGAGGGGAAAAGUGAGUCUUAUAGAGCAAAAAAUACGGUAUUUUAUGGGAUCCUACAAGCCUGCAAGUGGAAGACAGGAGUGCCUGGCGUCCUCUGGUCCAUGGGGUCACAAAGAGUCAGACACGACUAAAUGACUAAACAACAACAACAACAAGACUGAUGCAUGAUAUUCUUUUCUAGUGAGGGAAGUUGUGUUUCUUUUUCAAGCUGAAGUGAAAAAGUAUUGUUAUAUGUACCUCACUUUCUCAAGCUACAAGAAGUUCCAGGAGAAGCCCAACUCAAGUCUGCUUUCCUUGAAAUGAAAGUAAUGGAGACUUCUGAUGUUGUUAUAGCAUUCAUUUUAUUUUACAGAUGGACAAACAGAGAAUCAUAGACACAUAGAACUGUGGAGUUGGAAGGAACCCUCAGGGUCAUCUUGUCCAACUCCCUGCAAUGCAGCCAUCUCAGUUAAAGCAUCCAUGACAGGUGGCCAUCCAACCACUGCUUAAAAACAAUCAAGGAAUGAGUCCGUUUGACUUCUGUUCUGCUGUCAAACAGCUCUUACUGACAGAAAGUUAUUUCUGAUGUUUAGUGAGAAUCUCCUUUCUUGUAAUUUAAAUCCAUUGGUUUGGGUCCUACUCUCCAGAGCAGGAAAAAACGAGCUUGCUCCAUCUUCCAUGUUACAACCCUUUAGAUAUUUGAAGAUGGCUAUCAUCUCUCCUCUCAGUCUUCUCUUAUUCAGGCUAAACAUUCCCAGCUCCAUCAACCAUUCCUCAUAAGGCUUGGUUUUCAUCUUGAUCUCCCUCCGCUGCACACUUUUUGGCUUUUCAAUAUCCUUCUUAAAUUGUGGUGCCCAGAACUGGACACAGUACUCCAGGUGUGGUUACACCAAAGCAGUACAGAGCGGGGCUAUUAUUUUCCUUGAUCAGGACAUUAUACUUUUGUUGAUGCAAUUAGUAGUAUUCACAUUUUUUUGCUGCUGCAUCAUACUGUGGACUCCUGUUCAGCUUGUAGUCUACUAAGACCCUGAGAUCCUUUUCACAUGUGCUACCGGCAAGCCAGGUGUCCCACCAUCUUCUGUUUGUUCAGCUGGUUCUUCCUGCCUAAAUGUAGAACCUAACAUUUGUUCCUACUGAGAUUCAUUUUGUAAGUUUGGGCCUAUUCUACAAUCUGUCAUGGUCAUAUUGAUUCCCGAUUCAUGCUUCUGCGGCAUUUGCUACCCAUCCCAGUUUAUUGUAGUCUGAAAUCAGGGAUGGGAAACCUGUGGCCCUCCAGGUGUUGUGGGACUCCAUCUUCCAUUGGCCACAGCCAGCAUGGGAUUAUGGGAGUUGUAGGCCAACAAUAUCUGAAGGGCAUUAGGAUCUCCAUCCUUGGUCUUAAGUGCAGGUGGCCAUGUAAGCCUAUGUCACCCUUAUAAGGCUAUAUACCAACAAUGUCAAGUGAGAUACCCAGAGAGAAAGUCAAAGUAUUAAUGCUGAUGGACUGCUCACAGCACACACUCUCUUUCCCUCUGCCAAAAUUCAAUUUAUUCACUACGCUCUUUUCCCCUGUCCUUUCUCCCCCAUUCCACCUCCUCCAACCUUGAUGGCUGACUCCUGCAAAAGGCUCUGAGAGAGAUCUGCAGUUAUCUCCUAAUCAAUUCAGUGGGUUAGGUUGGAUAUUUCUCAGCGAUCUUGGGCCAUUAACCAGUAAUCUGCCUAACAAAGGAAAUAGGGGCCAGCGCCAUAACAUUAUUGUUGAAGUUAAGGUUGAGUAAUGCAGGCAUUGGACUGGUGACUGAAAAACAACUGAACUUUAAUCUCAUCAGAUGUUUUUCACUGAGUUGAGUCUUUUUGCAAAUAUACAUGGGAAGACAAAAACAGAAAACAAGACAAAAAACCCUGACCUUGGUCAAUACUUUACGUUUGAUAGAACUACCCUUGAAAAUAAAUCUAUUUUCCUGAUGCUGUUUUGCUCCUGGGCAGCAAAUAUUCUAUUUCCAUGAUCAAGCAAAGGGAAUCUGGGAGUGAGUAUGGAUCUCCCAUACUAGGAAGAAAAGGGCUGGUGUGUUUUUCAGAAGGGAGGGCAGACUUUUCUCACCCUCCAAAUAGGUCAUGAGGUCUCUAAUAGAGAUAAGGGGCCAUGAAAUGUAUAAAAUAAAACAUAAAAAGACAAUUAAAACAGCAUGAAAAGAUCAUUAAAAUGACUGGCUAAUCAAGAAAGUUUUAAACAACUGCAUAGGCAUGUCAGCACAAAAAGGUCUUCAAGAGACACCUGAAAGUAAAAAGCAGGGGUGCCUGCUGACUUUGCCAGAAGAGUGUUCCGCUGCAAGGGACUAAGUGUUCAACUUCUAACUGAGGCCAUUCAGGUCUCUGUAACACAAGGUGCAACUUACAGUGCUUCUUUGUAUGAUCUCACUCAUCAAGCUGGGAUAUAAUAUGUUGCAUUUGGUUUUAUUGGAUGGGCUCGGGUGGAGAAAUCCUUGAGUACAACAUUGGACCCACAUUAAGGAAGUAUUGAUGCCCAUGGUUCUCCAUGCUUAACACACUCUUUCCAGGUUUUGUAGAUAUUUGUGGUUGAGGCACUUUUUCACACAGCACAUGUUUAAACAAUGGAAUACAUUAACCUGAAGAUCCAGUACUGACGAUCGACUGGGACAAAUUCAUGGAGGAUAUUAGUGGUUACUAGCCAUAAUGGCCUGGUGCUACCUUCAGUAAGGGAGGUAGCAUGUCUCUAAAUACCGGUUUCUGGGGAGCCUAAAUGGGGAGAGUGCUCUUGCACUUGUGUCCUGUUUGUGGGAUUUUCAUAGGUGUCUGGUUCACCACUUUGAGCACAGGAUGAUGGGCCUUUUGCUCCGCUUCAGCAGGGCUCCUCUUACAUUUUGUUAUGUCGUACUGCUUUCAAAACCUGUCCCAUCAGCUUGACCUUCAAAUCAUAUAUAAGCUGACAUUUCCAUAAGCCAAUUGAUAGGGAUGUAUUUUUACAUUUAGUGCUUCUGCUGCAUAUUGCCACUCCAAUCCUGAGUUCUACAUAAAUUUUGCUGUACACAAAACUGAAACUCAAGUGGUAGUGAGUACCGUUAAUUUCAAUGGUGGCAGGUUUAUCCACUUACAGUAAAAAUGGCAAUGCUACACUGUGUUUCUACUCAAGAGGGAGGAACUACAAAAGAAGACACUCCACUCAAUAUAUAUUGCAGGCCCUCCCCUCUCUCUCUCACACACACACGGAAUGCAGCUGCUCUUAUUAAUACUGACAGAUACGCACAGGUGUUACAAAACAAAUGCUGUCAGCAGUCUCAAAGUGUCACUAUCAGCAUGACAUUACAAGACAACUGCAAAUGUCAAAAUGCCUUUGCUACUAAGUGGCUUAUCUCAACCAAAUAACAGAACUGUGCCGAAAGCAAAAUGCGCUUCUUUGCCCAACUCUCCAUAAUAAUUCUAUAGCACCCACAGUCAGCAGCAGGCCAAAUGACCACUCUGCUGAUAGACAAACCUUUGUUUUGACUGAUACCUUCAUUUUAUCUGCUGCACAUGAGAUAGCGUUGUGUUUUAUGGUUGUGUUUUAAUUGUUGUUAGCUGCCUUGUAUGGUGUGCAAGUGCUAGGAGGGAAGGCUAGAAGCAUUUGCAAUAAAUAAAGCCAGCUACUUUGCUGGGCUGACAGAUGAUAUGAAACUCUUCAGAUGAUGAGUGUGCAUGUGUAAGCCAGCCCGUGGACUCAGGUGGAAGUGUCAUAAGCAGCUGAGCUCUUGCUCCUUUCAGGAUGGGAAGGAUAGCUAGGCAGCGUCCAACCAUAAAUCCUGUUAAUUCUUCAGGAAGCUUAGGGCUACCUCCUUGUUAGUUUUAAUGGCACGGCUGCAAUUGUAUUUUAAAAUGUGCAAAACAUAAAAUGUAUUCUAAAAUGCACAUGGCCUGGUGUGGUUGGGUGGGUGGGUGGGAGUCACGUGGGGUUCUUAUCUGCAGCCUGCCAGCAGUUGUUGUGCUCCAGCUCCUAACAGCCCCAGCCAGAAUGGCCAAGGGACAUAUACUGCAUUUAGAACACAUAACAUCCCCCCCCAAAUCAGAACUGUAGUCUCCCUCUUCCAGAGCUACACUUCCUGGCACCCUUAACAAAGUACAGUUCCUGAGGUUCUCACAUGACUUUCCCCGAUGAAUUUUGGGAACUGUAGUCCCCAAGCUUCAUGUCUCAGCAUCCUUAACAAAUUGCAGUUCCCAAGGUUUUUUGGGAGAAGCCAUAUCCUUUGGAUGGGUGUUGAAUGCACUUUAAAUGUAUGGUGCAGAUCUGCCUGGAAUUGUAGUCCAGCAAUAUCUGGAGGGUCACAGCUUAACCACGCCUGCCACAGGCCAAAGAUCUGAGCUGUUCUGCGAUUUACACAUUGGUUUGCAAUGCAUGGCUACAGAACAUGUAGGAACAUGCCCCCCAGGCAAAGUGCCAAUGUUCAUGUUGAUUGAGGGUAUGGGUAGCCACAAGUGUUGGUCAUGUGUAUGCGUUCACAAAAAUGAUCAGGUAAAGCAGUAACACAUGGACUCUAACCUGGAGCUCUUCUUCUCCACACUUGCUGCCCGCCCCCAAGAUUUACCAGCAGAGGGCACCCAAAGCUUAAGAGAGCUGCUAAAUUAGCCACACCUUGCCCACUAAGCAAAAGUCCAAAAGGAUUAAGAAAAUAAUCUCUUUAUACAAAUGAAGCUGCGUAGAUAUUUGAAAGACAAAGACCCCACCACCAAAUUUUAACGUGUAAUUAACCAAGUUGCAUGAGAUAAAACUUGGGUUUGGUGAUCAAGUUUGCCAAUGCAGCUUGUAUCUUUGUUCCUCCCAUGCAAAGAAGCAAACCAAAACACAAAGACUUCACAGAUCAGAACAGGAGCUCAGAAUCAAGAAGCAGAAGGCCCAGGUUUUAGCCCCUAGUCCCAGAGAAUUAAAACUACUGUAUUGCUUUGACACUUCAUAUUUCAGUUAUUAGUAACAAGCUAAGCCCCUCAAAUAGCCCACAGUAAGACUUUGAAUAAAUUGAGGAACACAGUGCUCUACGAAUCUAGUUUUAAAAGAAUUUGGGCACUGUUUGGUUUGACAAAAGUGCAGUAGGGAGAUUCUGAAGUGCAAAAAAUGGAAGGAAAUAUAACAAGCUGUAUGUAAGUAAAAAGGAAGAUGAGCAGAGAAUAGCAACUAGAGGUGGAACAGUUUUAUGUUUGAAAUACCUGGCCUGACUUUCAGUGGCCAGUUCCAGUGCAAGAUAGCCAGUUUAAUGUGCAAUAGAUAAAACAGCUGUUACUCAGUGCUGGAUAUCCAAACCCUCUCUGCAAUGUAAUAUUUGGAUACUGCAUUCCCACUAAUAUUUUGUUAUGGAGAACCACAACUGCACAAUUUUCACAGGUCUUUGUUGGUUUAGUGCCAAAUUACAUCAUUACCUAAGUCCUACAGUAUUCUGAGUGCUUUUUUAAAAAAUUCAUUUUUAUUUAUUUUUAUGUAGACAAAUACACAUGAAAGUAAAAUACAACAAAACUAAAUAGUAAAACUUCAAGUGUUUUAGUCAUUUCCCUUGGAGACACAUAUUAUUAGAGUGCUUAUGUGCCCUCAUAUUUUUGCUUACAUUUUCUGGGUAGAAACAUUCUGAAUGACCAAAGUAAAAUAAAUGAAUAGGGGAAUCUAGUCACAAUUUUCCAAAGGUAAACUAUGCAUUUGGACUGAAGCAGAGAUGUACCUAGCUCACAAGCUACAUGUUCUUCCCAGCAUAGUUCCUUGAAGACUUUAAAUGCAGCCCAUCUCCUUCCUGAGCAAACACAAUAGAAUAGUAAUCCAAUUAUCAUAGCGUAGUAGGCAAAAUUUCCUUUAUUCCCAGAAUUACCAGCUGCUGGGCACGCAGAAGCAGCAAACUUCUGCUGUAGCUUUAGAUCAACAUUACUCACAGCACUAAAAGCACAUCUGAGUCUCUCUCACUUUGUAUGUAUCAUAAAUGAAUGCUGCAAUAGCAGAAGAUGUAUUGAAAGUAUGAUCUCAUAGUUGGGCAAUUUCCCACUCACUCGUUUGUUGAGUGCAGUGUUCAUAAGGGAUUCAGCAGAAUCUGUGUCUUGCAAUAAUAUUGGGUGCUGUUUAGGAUUUAAAUCAAGAGUUGACAAGUUUCAGCACACGUUGUUCCAAAGCACAAUCAUUUACUGUAUCUAAUUCUAGGCAUGUUGAGUCUUUGUCAUGAUGACUCAGGAUUACCUUGGUAAUUUGAUGACAGCCGAAAUCAGCCAUAACGUAAGACCUACUGUAGUUGGCGCCCUGACUGCUGUUUGCAUCUUAGUAUCGCUAUAAGGGAGUUCAACUCAGGAGGGUAAUAGCACGUCCCUAGCACUGCGUUACUUUUUUUGUGGCUUGGAUUUUCGUCCCAAACCACCUCUGUCUUGCCUCUUGUCCCUUGACAUCCCAUGCUUUCUUUUCACAGAGGUACGGAAUAGCUUUUUAGGAGGAAAAUAGGAGGGGAAAUCCAGGGUCCAUUAGUUUUGAAAGGAAUGCAUACAUGAAAAAUAUUGAAGUUAACUAGUCAGCAAAAGAUUAGCAAAAAUUCUUGCUUCAACACUAUUCAUCUCAGCCUUUCAGAGAGAAAGAGAGACAGAAAAAGAGAAAGAAUUGCUUUAAUUUAUGCUUUGUUCCCCUCAGAUCACUCAAUUCACUGAAGGCUGAAAGCUUACAAAAAUUAAAUGCAGGAUUGAUCCAAUUAACAACAAAGGCAGCCAUGAUGCAUUUUGAUUAAUGCAGUUAAAAAUCUGAAUGAGUCUGAACACUCUCAAUCUGGGUUGUUGUUUUUUUUAAAAAAAGCUUAUUACUCACAAGCUUUGCUUUUCAAUUGGGAGAAAAGGAAUGCAAAAUUUGUCCCAUUAACUUUCAUCACUACAAGCUGGUAAAAAGCAGUAGACAAGAGAAGGAUGAUUAUUUCCACAGCAUAUGAGGCUGCCUGGCUUGUCUCAUGUAUUCCUGCCUAGUACUUUGUCCACUUCACACCCUGGCACGUAAACCUGAAGCAAAAGCAAAUCUGCCAUGGAUGUUAAGGGAAUGGGAAAGGUGGAGGCAGCUACACUUGUUCCAUUGUUUCUUCGAAAUGCAUGCGCCUAUCAACUCCAGAUAGCUGUAUUGCUCCUUUAAAACAUAAUCCACAGUAAAGCAAUAUCUUUAUUUGAAUGAACCAAUGCUCACAGUGCACUACUUCAGCUUUUGUUUCAUGUUUGUACAGAAUCCCCCCUUAAACUGUACAUUCUAGACUUUAUUUUAAAGGGGAAUAAACAAAUGUUUCCAAGUUAGGGAAAGCUAUCAUUGCAUAACUACUGUAUACAAGCAGGGAUAGGGAAUUUGCUUCCCCUACAUAUAUUGUGGAUGAGAGUUCUCAUAAUCUGUGGCCAUUGGUAAGAUUUAAAAUGCAUGUAAUGUUGUCGUGGGAUGUGAGUUAGAAGGACAGAACUCGUGGCAUCUCAGCCGCUUGGCCACUGUACUCCAUGCUCUGGUAACUCCCAGACUGGAUUGUUGUAAUGCACUCAACAUGGGGCUGCUCUUGAAGACAACUUGGAAACUUCAAUGGGUCCAAAAUGCAGCGGCUAGAUUACCGGUUGGGGUUUCAUUCAGUUCUAAACCAGCUGCACUGUUCAUAUCCAGUUCUAAACCAGCUGCACUGGUUGGCUAUUUUCGGUCCAUUUCAAGGUACACAUGUUAAUGUUUAAAGCCCUAAACAGCUCAGGCCCCAAAUACUUGAAAGACACCCUCCUUCCCUACAGACCCCCUUGGGUAUUAAGAGCAGCAAAAUGGGACCUUCUGGAAGUUCUGCCACGCUUAGAAGUUCUAGGGUAGUGGAAGCCCAGGAAAGGGAAAUCUUUGCUUCAGCCCCUAAGCUGUGGAACUCUCUCCCCAUAGAGGUGCAUCUGGCAACUUCAUUAUACAGUGGUACCUCGAGUUACAGACACUUCAGGUUACAGACUCCGCUAACCCAGAAAUAGUACCUCGGGUUAAGAACUUUGCUUCAGGAUGAGAACAGAAAUCGCUCUGCGGUGGCAGUGGGAGGCCCCAUUAGCCAAAGUGGUACCUCAGGUUAAGAACAGUUUCAGGUUAAGACCGGACCUCCAGAAUGAAUUACGUUCUUAACCCGAGGUACCACUGAACAGUUUUUGGAGAAUGCUUAAGACACACUUUACUAUCUUAGGCUUUGACACCUAAGAUGUAUAUUUUUAGGACCAGCCCUAUUUUUGUGAUUGUAGGUUGCUUAGAAUGCAACAUUAAGAACAGUUUAAUAGUGUUGUAAUACUGGGACCCUAGAGUGAUGGGCAGAUAAUAAAUUAAAAUACAACACCACCAGCACAAUUGGCACUGGUUCUCCAGGAUUCCAACUGUGGGCAAUCCCAGUACUUAGAGAUGCCAAGGAUUGAACUCGAGACCUUCUACUUCUCUGGACCUAGUGACUUCCAUGGCAACACUAGGGCUCUCCCAGUUUGUUUUGGGCCCCACUCAUCAAGCAGGCCACACACUGGAUCUGAUCUUUGGGGCUGGCAUAGAUGUGAUCAUGCUCCCCGCUGUGGAAGUGCCAUGGUCUGAUCACUACGCUCUGAAAGCCAAGAUUGACUUCCCGUUCCUCCCCAGCUCGGGUGGCAAACCUAUUUGGGCUCGUCCACGAAAACUGAUGGAUCCUGAUAGAUUCCGACAAGCCUUGCGGAACCCUGCUCCUCCUGGUGACUCAUUAGAUGACCUUGUUGAGGACUGGAAUAACCGGCUCUUGGCAGCCAUUGAUGAGAUCGCGCCUAAGCGCCCUCUGCGACCCUGUCGAAACCGGGCCCCUUGGUUUACUGAGGAGCUCCGGAAAAUGAAGCGGGAUCUCAGACGGCUAGAGCGAGUAUGGCGACGGACUCGUGACGGAGCCUCAAGAACAUCUUAUAGGACGCUUAUGAAAGCCUAUGAGAUGGCUAUGAAAGCUGCUAAGAAAUCUUACUUUGCAGCUUCCAUUGCAUCCGCUAGCUCUCGCCCGGCACAACUUUUUAGAAUAAUUAGGUCAAUAACGUCCUUAGGAGGACAACUAAAUUUAAGCACAAAUUCGACCCACAGCUGUGAGGCAUUCGCGAGGUUUUUUGCGGAGAAAGUCCUGUUGCUCCACCGUGACCUCCCUGCCAAUUUAGAUACAAUGACUGAACUGGAGGCCUCUCGACUGACUUCAGGUCCUGUGUUGGACCAUUUCGAUCGAAUACUCCCUACUGAUGUGGAUAGAUCCCUCCAAGUUGGUAGGCCCACCAGCUGCCUCCUUGAUCCGUGCCCGUCUUGGCUGAUUAGGGAGUGUCCAGAUGUUGCGCGGACCCCCCUGGUUGAAAUUAUCAAUUUGUCCCUUGACACGGGGACAUUCCCAGGGGAACUGAAGGAAGCAGUGGUGUGUCCACUCUUAAAGAAAACUUCAUCAGAUCCCUUAGACCUAUCCAAUUACCGCCCAGUUUCAAAUCUUCCAUACCUGGGUAAGGUAAUUGAGAGAGCGGUUGCUGAACAGCUUGGUAGGUUUCUGGAGGAAACAUUGGCAUUAGAUCCAUUUCAGUCCGGUUUCCGUCCUGGUUUUGGGACGGAGAUGGCUCUGGUUGCCCUAACAGAUGAUCUCCAUAGACAACUGGAUCGAGGCGGGUCAGGACUGCUGAUCCUUUUAGAUUUGUCAGCAGCCUUUGACAUGGUCGAUCAUGAUCUUCUGGACCACCGCCUCGCAGACGUGGGGAUACAGGGCAUAGCCUGUAACUGGUUGUGCUCUUUUAUCUCUGGUCGGGGACAGAGGGUGGCACUAGGGAGGAAAAUGUCGUCGCGCCACUCCUUGGUGUGUGGAGUGCCGCAGGGCGCAAUUCUCUCCCGAUGCUUUUAACAUCUUUAUGCGCCCCUUGCCCAGAUUAUCCGGAGCUUUGGGCUGGGCUGUCACCAAUAUGCUGAUGACACUCAGCUCUAUCUGCUGAUGGAUGGCCACACCGACUCGGCCCCGAACACACUGACCAGAUGCUUGGAAGCUGUAGCUGGAUGGUUUCGUGGGAGCCGAUUGAAACUAAAUCCUUCAAAGACAGAGGUCCUAUGGCUAGGUCAGGAUGGCAUGGAGAUGAGGGACCAACUCCCUUCUCUUGCGGGGGCCCAAUUAGUGCCAUUGCCUUCCGUUAAGAGUUGGGGUGUAAUCUUUGACGCUUCCCUUUCCAUGGAGGCGCAAGUUACAGCAACAACCAAGGCGACAUUUUUCCACCUUCGCUACAUCAAGCAGUUGGUCCCUUACCUUUCCCGCCCCGACCUGGCCACAGUGAUCCAUGCGAAGGUCAUCUCCAGGCUUGACUACUGUAAUUCGCUCUACGCGGGGCUGCCCUUGAAGCUGUCCCAGAAACUCCAGCGGGUACAGAAUGCUGCAGCGAGGCUCCUCACGGGGUCUCUGCCAUGGGAGCAUAUUCACCCAGUGCUUUUCAAGCUACACUGGCUCCCGGUGGAGUACAGGGUCAGAUUUAAGGUGCUGCUUUUGACCUUUAAAGCCCUUCACGGCCUAGGACCCUCGUACCUACGGGACCGCCUCUCCUGGUAUGCCCCACGGAGAGCCUCAAGGUCCAUAAAUAACAACACCCUGGUGGCCCCAGGCCCUAAGGAAGUUAGAUUGGCUUCAACCAGAGCCAGGGCCUUUUCAACUCUGGCUCCGGCCUGGUGGAACGCUCUGCCUCAUGAGACCAGGGCCCUACAGGAUCUGAUUUCUUUCCGCAGGGCCUGUAAGACAGAGUUGUUCCGCCUGGCCUUUGGCUUGGAGCCAAUUUGAUUCCCUCCCUCCCUCUCUUUCUUUUUUCUUUUCCUUCUCCUCCUGCGAUGAGGCCACAUUUUAAUAUUUUAAUGUUCCAUUAUUUUAAUGUUGUAUUUUAUUUUUGUUUUUAAGUUGUAAUCAUUCACCUUGUUUUUAUUAUUGCUUGUAAGCCGCUCUGAGCCCGGCCUUGGCUGGGGAGGGCGGGGUAUAAAUAAAAAAUUAUUAUUAUUAUUAUUACUUGCAAACCAGGUGCUUUGUCACUGAGCGAAGGCCCUUUCUCAACAAAAUACUGUUGCCCACCACCCCAGUCUUUAAGCAGUGUGAGAUUCCAGGGUUACCAGGCCUUUAUCCAGGGUUUGUGUUUCCUUUUUGGAAUGAGGCAUAGUAGACACUCUAGUGUCUUUAUGAUAUAUGGUUUAUUUACACAUAGAUACAACCUGAGCCAAUGAUAGAGGGUUUCACAGCAUUAACAUCCCAAGAGGGUCUUGUUUCUCCCACAGCUGUGCUCUGCCUCUCUGGAGGAGGGUCCCCACUCAUUUGCCAUCUGGCACAGAGCCCAUUCUCUUUUGCUCUCUUAAUAACCCAUCACCUUUUCUUUGUUUUCUUAAUGGCCCUUCACCCAGACGAUCACCUCAUGAGGAAGCUAGCCUGGCUUAUAUAUAGCCUGGCUUGCUAGGAUUAUAGGGAUUUGAAGUCUGGCACCGACAAAUUCAUAACAAUUCCCUCAGGAAAUAAUUGUCUCAGUGUUUGAAUUAAUAAAUUGGGGAGCCAAUGCAUCUAGAGAAAACCUUCUCCUGUAGUUUGUGUUCUGGAUGAUAAAAGCUUGUAAACUGUUCUCCAAGCUAUCCAUUCACUACUGGGUAGGGAAGGAAGUAGAGGACUCCUGGAUGAAAGAAAUACCGUACUUGUGAGCCUGUGAUUCAUGUGUGAGAUGGGAUCCCUUAGCACAGCAAAAUAGUGAGCUAUUUUGACACACAGGACCACUGACUCAGGCUGAGGUAAAGACGUUACUAUUCCAUUGCUGCAGGAAUGGACCUUGGCAUCAGCCAGUUGAAAGAAGUUCUCAUGUUGCUUCUUUGAGAAGUCAGAGAUAGUUUACGCACACCUGAAACCUUGCUUACGUACAAGCGCCAAGAGUAACUAUAUUUGGUUAGUACUUUGGCAGGGAGAGUAUGCCCGCGUUCUGCAUUUUCAGAUAAUAGAUGGCCUCAACUUUACAUCUCGGCUUACUAGUUAGAAAACUUUGAAGCAAAGUGAUACAAACUGUUUAUGUGACUGUUUAUCUCUGCAUAAGGCAGAUACUAAGACAGUUGGAGUUGUUUUAUACAUCUCUGCUAGUAUGGUAGAAGACCCUGACGUAGAAAUACCAUAUUUUUUUAUAUGCAGGAUUUAAUGGAAUACCAAAUCACUUCUGUAAAACUCAGCAGCUUAAAAGUGAUUGUCUGAAUUAUUAUCUCUUGUUUAUAUUAGUCACCAAGGAAAGCAAGAGUGAGCUUGAUUACAGGCUGACAGGGACAUGAGCAUGUGUUUCCAACAUGAUAAACAUUAUUUUGCUCACUAGCCUUGUAUGUACAUUAAAGCUGAGGCCAUUUCAUAAGCUGUGUUAUGAAAGGCUGAUCACCCCACAUCUCUUGACUAGCAGGACAUUCCUGGAAUGACCUCCCUUUGCCGUGCAUAGAAAUCUAACGCUGUGUCUAAAUUCAAGCUGCUUUCUUUCUUUCCUUCCCUUUUUCUUUUUUCACUCACCCCUGCCAAACAGAAACACAGAUUCAGUGCCCCAACUGAUUUGAUGAGGGUGUCCUCCCAUCACCCCUCAUAACUUCCAAGGGCCAUUAUAGAAACAGCUGGUCAUGAAGCAAUUCAACAAAAGAUGGUCACUAGACAGCUAAUACAGGACAUGACCAUUAUUAAUUAACACUUCAGAGACUUGCAACAAGCUUGAGUAAAUUAGGAUUCUAAAGGCAUGCAGGCUACAAAUCUUCAUGUCUGAAAGCAUCUGAAAUACAGGAGCAUACUGAAGUGUAAAUUACAGCAGUUGAUUUACAGCACAGAGUUGUAAAUCAACUGCAUAUGAUUUUCUUCAUUAACUCACACAUUGGAGAGGCAUAGAAUGGAUGCGAUCUGUUCUAGUGGUCCUAGAUCAUGGGUGCAAUGACUUUGAAGAGGGCAAAUUCUGCAAAGCAGCAUGGGCAUCUGAAGGUGGCUAUGGCACUCUUCAGAAAGAAAGCCACUGAUUUAAUAUGGCCACUUCUCCUGACAGGGAGAAUACUUUUGCUUCAAAAGGCAAAGUGCCACUCUCUCUGCCCUAUUCCCGCUGCACUAAAAAAGCUCUUCAGUAAACUCUGAAUUCAAGCAUUCAUUCUCUUGGGUAUGCAAACACAAAACGGGGUGAGCAAAUACAUAUCUGUUCUCCUUGCAAAGUCUUGCUCCGUCUGUUUCCUCUGUCCACAUCAACUAUAAUUGUGCAAUCUGAAUGUGCCAAUAUGUGGAUCCUAACUGAAAAUAGCAACAGUCUAGAAGAUUAGAUUAAGUGGCAUACAGAAACUGAAGCAACAACAGACAAUUUAAAUAAAAUAUUGCAAAAACACACAAUUACAUAUAGAGAUGUUACAUUAAUACAAAAUUACUAAUAUAUAUACAUCAGUAUCAGUUCAUGUUCUUUCUGACACACCCUCCCUCUCACCCAGAGGACUGUCACUCAGGGCCCAAACAAACUCUCAUCUCACUCACAAAAGUCUCACAAUGAGAAAAAGUGGACAUCACCCUGCUCUCUCACUCUAGACUUGCUUUUUAUGGGCAAGCCCAAGGGGGAUGGUACUUCCUCAGGCUAUGUCCGAUUCAGCUGCACUCUCCACCCCCAGUUCCAGGUGCAGCAGGAUUGUUGACCCAGGGGGUCCAGAGGAUGGGGAAAGGACCCCCGCUCCACUCACAGCUCUUUCUUCACCCUCUGUCCUCUCCUCCUCCAUCCAUACUUUGUACCUUUGCCCAUGUACACCCACACACCCCAAAAUGAUUAUUUAUGGUUAGCAAAAACAUCUUGCACUGAGCAGAGCUGUAACUUAAGGACAAGCUCCACUAUAGCACUUUUCACUGGUCAACAGAACCUGGAGCAUCCCAGUUAAUGAUAAGUAUUGACAGACUGCCUUUCAGCUGAUAGAGGAGGAAGGGAAAUGACUAUUUUUCUGUGCCUUUCGAUAUGUGUAUCAAUUAGAUCCCAUCAUGCUUUUGUGUCAAGCUAUACAUACAGCAGAACCUAUUUACAUAAAUGAAUUGGGCACUAAUGGAUAAAUCCCUCAUCCCUGGAAUAUAUGUACCUUUAAAAUGUCUGAUUAAGAUGUUUUCAGAAGGCUUAUAAAAUAAGAGCAUCAGUGAGGACCCGGCUUGGCAAAGGAGGGACCAUUAGUCUCCCCCAGCUAUGCCUGACUCUGUUCUCAGUGCAGAACCAACCCAGAACCUCAGAGAGGCAACGUCACCAGAGUUGAUUAUCCUGUCUCUGGGGCUGAGCUCUUGGGACAGAUUAGAUAUUCUGUUGGGGUAGCAUCAGGCCCUCUGCCCAACCAUCUCCCUUCCUGAGCAGAGAGGUGGCCUCAGAUCUGUUGUUGAAGACCCCUAGGUUGUUAGUCCUGGGAGACAAACAUCCAUUCCAAGGUGCAGUCCACCUUGCGUCCUAGACACAUGGGAGGUCAUGCACUUGGAUUUGGCCAAUAUUACUUACAAUGCAUAACUACCUCUUCCACCUCCAAUAUCACAGAAUGUUGGGAGCUGCAUAGGCUGUUGUAAUCAGGUAGUCCAACAGUUGAAGUUUCUUGCUGUCAUUUGGGAUCAGAAGGAAGUUGUGUACCAGUUCAAGCCAAUACAAGUUUAUUGGCUGCUCUGACACUCUGAAACUAGCAGCUCAGUUUUAGUUCACAUGGGAAGAAAAUUCACACUACAGUCCUGAUUUGAAUAUCUGAUGGUGAUCCAUCAUUGUUGAGUUAUUGAAUUUUAUAUUGGUACUAGAUGAUUCAUAAUAGUAACUAGGCAAAAGAGGAAAGCCUGUAAUAGCAGAUAGAAAAUUGCCGUGAGUAGGGAGAGAGAGAAAAUGAUGAAACAAAAAGAAAUAAACAUAUUGAUUUUGUUUUACGAUUGCUGGAAUUAUUAACAGAUCAAUCCUAUCCCCUGCCCAGGAGCAGCAACUUAUGACAAAGUAGCCUAGUCACCACGGCACCAUUGGUCACACUGGAUGGGGGUCAAGGGUUGGGUUAUGGAGGCUAGAAUGGUGUGGUAAUCAGGCCCAGUGCAUCAACGGCAGCAAUGGAGCUGGCUCAGACUACCAGAGGUGCAAGCAUUAGGGGGGAAUUAAUUUCAGCAAUCACUACCAGUAUGGCAGAGGCACUGCUGUUCUGUACCUUUCUUUCCUUCUCUCUGCUAAAGUGGAUUGGAGUCUAAAGUAGCAGACUGAAUCUCUGUUUCCCCGACACUGAAAAUGGCAGACUAUGGAAGCCUGGACAAACUGCCACAUAAAAUCCUCUUGCAUUUGUGUGUGUGUGUGUGUGUGUGUGUGUGUGUGUGUGUACACGCUGUUGAGGUUGGGUGGGGGUCCAGUGUGUGUAAUAUCACAUCAAGGCUUUUUUGAAGCUGAACCGUCAUUCCGAACCGGUAACUUAGUUUAGUUUUGCUUUUAGGCUCUUGAAUCCAAUAUGAAGAGGGAUUCAGUUAAAUGUUCUGGGGGGGUAGGGGGUGGAAUCCAGCUAACUUAGGGCUCAGGUUCAUUUUAAUUUUCUUAUUGUAAUCUCAGGGUUAGGUCCACAAAAACACUACUUGUCACACUGUUUGAAAGUUAACUAUUUAUGAUUGUCUCUUCAUUUUACACAAACAUGUAUUUUCUUCUUCAGAUCUGGUAUUAUUAUUAGUGUAUUGUUGAUUUUUAAAAGUAAAAAAAGAAAUAAAUGAAAUAUCAACAAUGUAUAAAAUGGAAUAAUCAAAAUGUAACUCUUAUUAACAUAUGAGGGGUAUUUUACUUUGGUUCCUGUCAUUCCAGUAUGUAAAAAAACAAAAGUGCUACAUUUUUCAAUAAAGUUAUUAUCUACAUACCUACUUUCUCUAACUCCUAUGAAUUAAUUUGAGCAUAUACACUCAUGAAGAUACACAUGCUGAUCAGUAGUGGCAGGAAGCCACUGGGGGAUCAACUAUACUGCAGAGGUCCCAAUUCAGAAUUCCACUGCAGAGUCGAUCCCUGCCCCAAGCAGGUCUUGCUGUAAGUAGAGAUAUUCUUUUUCAUGGUUGGUCGGAGACAUGCCCACAAAAUGUUUUUUUUGGGGGGGGGGUCACCUGACAUUACUGUGAUGACAGUUGAUUGACAGUUGGGCAGCCUCCCCCACCUGUCAAAAUGGUCUACAGGAUGUGAGAAAAGUCAGAAUCUGGCUCACUAGCCAAAUCCUGUUCCUUACCUCUGUGCUAGAGAAAGAAGGGGUUGAAAUACUUGAACGGUGUGAACUCUGGAAAGUGUUAGAAAGCACAAUUGCAGCAGUAAGGAGCCUGGAGAAAGGGAUCCAGAAAUCUGGAUGCAAAUGGGCAAGUAUCAGUUUGGUUAGGGAAACAAUCUAGAUCGGUAGAGAUGGAUGGAUGCAUUUAUUUGCUCUUAUGGGUAAACUGUAAAAUUAGUUCUCUUCUAUGGAUGAUUUUUUUCCAAAAAGUGUUUUAUCUAAAUCCUUAAGUAAAAGCACAAUUUGUUUUGGAGAAAUUUGGUCAGAUGCCUUGUUAUACAAUCCAUGCCAAAGUGCCAUACCACUCUAGCCAAUAUUUGGAGUAGGUUGGGCCAGUAAAAAUAGAGAAGCUUAAAAAGCUGUUUGCUGAGCAGCCAGAGAAAUAUAAAAAUAUGGCAGCAGUGAAGUUAACAAGAAUGAAUCAUAGAUUCGUAGAGUAGGAAGGGACCCCGAGGGUAAUCUAAUCCAACCCUCUACAAUGCAGGAAUCUACGCUAAAGCAUCCAUGCUGGAUGGCCACCCAACCUCUGCUUAAAAACCUCCUAUGGGAGUCUGUUUCACUAUUAAACAGCUCUUACUGUCAGAAAGCUCUUCCUGAUUUUUAGUCAGAAUGUCCUUUCUUGUAACUUAAAUCCAUUAGUUCUGGUCCUACCCUCCAUAGCAGGAGAAAACAUUCUUGUUCCAUCAUCCAUGUGACAUACCUUAGAUAUUUGCAGAUGGCUAUCAUAUUUUCUCUCAUUCUCCUCUUUACUUAGCUAAACAUACUCACUUGCUUCAACCAUUCCUCAAAAGGCUUGGUUUCCAGACUCUUGGUCAUCCUCCUCUGCACAUGUUUCAGCUUAUCAAUAUCCUUCUUAUAUUGUAGCACCCUGAACUGGUCACACUACAGAUACGCUCUGACCAAGGCAGAAUAGAACGGGACCAUUGCUUCCCUUGAUCAUUACACUAUGCUUCUAUUGAUGCAGCCUAGAAUAGCAUUAGCUUUUUUUGCUGCUGCAUCACACUGUGGUCUACCAAGACCCCUAGAUCUGUUUCACAUGUACUACUGGCAAGCCAGGUGUGCCCCAUCUUAUAUUGGUGCAGCUGGUUAUUCCUGCCUAAGUGUAGAAUCUUACAUUUGUCCUUUGUGAAUUUCAUUUUGUAUGUUCGGGGCCCAGUUCUCCAAUCUGUUAAGGUCAUAUUGAAUCCUGAUUCUGUCUUCAUUUGCAUUGUUUACUGCUCCCAAUUAGGUGUCAUCUGCAAGGGUUGGCUUUCCUGGUUUGCUUUCUUCUCUUCACUUUUACAAUGCCAUCUAAAAGCUGCACAAUUGUAAUACAGUCGUACCUCAGAAGUCAAUCAGAAUCCGUUCUGGAAGUCCGUUCGACUUCCAAAGCAUGGCUUCUGAUUGGCUGAAGGAAACUCCUGCAGCCAGUCAGAAGCCCCGUUGGACGUUCGGCUUCCAAAAGAAUGUUCAAAAACCAGAACACUCAUUUCUGGUUUCUGAUCGUUUGGGAGCCGGAACGUUUGACUCCCAAGGCGUUCAGGAGCCGAGGUACGACUGUACUGUUUCUUAAACUCAUAGUAGCUCCUUUCCCUGGAGAAAAUCCACAUGAUUGUAUCCUGCCUGCUGUUCCCGUGGGCAGUGCUAUCCUAAAGGUUCUGAAUUGCUGUCUGUGAGCCAUAGGAACGCUUUGCCAUAGGUGGGAAACUUUUUUUUUUACUAUUUAUGGCUUAUUGCCAUCGCUGCAGCUGUUAAUAAUCUGAUAAUUUUUAAAUCCUCUGGCACUAUAGAGCUUAAAUAGCAAAAGAGAACUACAAGCGGAUCCAUACAUAGUCCAUAUGAUCCGCUUGCAGUUCUCACUUGCUGUUUAAGCUCUAUUGUGCUACCUGAGGAUUUAGAAGUUAUCAGAUUAUUAAUUUUUAGUUCAAAUGUGUGCUAGAGGAACACGCUUUCCAAUGGUUGUAUCCCCCCAGAGGACAGCAAUGACGUCUGUCUUGGGGAACCUUCAAGGGUGCCAGCACUUACAAGUUCAGCUUUCUUGGAAUAAAGUUCACUGGAGCCUGUGAUGUCAUUUUGAUACAUGGUUUUAAUUACACAUAGAUACAACAUAAGCAUAAGAUGAAUGGUCUAAUUGCAUUAACACCGCAACCGAUUUUGCUUCCCCUUAGGAUUCCAGGCUGUCUUCAGAGCCACAGCUAUGGUUUCAACACAGAGAGCAAGUCUUCCCAGCUCCUGACCAGACAAGACCAGCUCCUGGACUGUUUUUCUCGUACCCCUAGAAUGACAUCCACCCAGGUGAGAGGUGAAAGCCUACCUCUUUCUUCUGGAGGCUUUACUAGUUAGUUGUUUCUGUGGCAACAUGGCCAACUCUUUAGUCAUGUAAAAAGGGUGUUUAAUAGGCUUGGCAGAGCCAGUAACUUAACAAAGAGACUUGUUUGACCCUUUCAGCAGUUUCUUGUAUUAUAGACUCGCAUCUAGAAACAUAUAUGGGGGUGGGGAUACAAAAAAAAUGCUAACUUUUGUGCAAACUUCCAACACUGAUAUAGGGCAGUUCUUAGGAUGAGUUGUGGGUUCUGGGACUUUUCACACCUCACUCCUUGGCAGUUUUUUUUUCUCUAGAAAAAGAGGUGCUGGAACAGAGUUCAGUGUGUUCUGGCUGAAAAAAGCCCUGCUUCUUGGGUAGCUAUACCUCUACUUCCUACCAAUAAAACUAGCAUGAUUACUGAAUUGUGUUGUGCUAAACCUGUGACUGUUUAAACAGAAAUCUUCUGCUAGCAGUAUAUAUUUCACAGAAUUUCAGCUCCCUUCCCUCCCCACUACUAAUUGGAGAAGAUAAGAGGCAAGGUUGUCCGCCAAAUUCACCCACCCACCUAGAUUUACACCUUGCAGCAGCACUCCUGCACAGCAUGGUAGGUACUGAAGGAAAUUCAUCGCCCGAGUUAAUACAGAAUUCUGCCAAGUACUGCUUUGGCUCAUUCUGUCUCAGCAGCAUUUAAAUACAUUUAUAUGGAACAGUGGUGUGCCUGAAAGCUAAUUUAGGCAGGAGAACAGCACAUAUGAUGGACAGUCAAAUUUUCAGCCAUACACGAGGGCUGCAUGUAAUUAAAAAACAACACACACACACACACACACACACACACACACACACUUGUGCUCAUCUGAACAGAUCCCAUCCACAGCAAUACAAAGAAUGGAAUCCAGUUUAAUUAAAGCCUGGACCAGGAAGUUUGUUUUCAUAGAAAAUCUACAUCUGAAAAUAUACUUGUAAAUCUGAAAAUAAUCUUAAACAAUAACAGCAUUCCCCGACUGGGCCAAGACAGUAUUACUGGGCUUGAAAGAAAUUCAUUAGGUCUUCCUAGGCUUCCAGUUUUCUAUUCAUCAACAGUGGGAUAAUAACCAAUUAAUUUCAAAAUGAGGAUCCUUUAGGCCAAAAGGCAGGAGUAGGUUAAUAAAAUAAAACAAGAACAAAGUCUCUACAGGUUCUGCUAAAUAUUACUGGUAUUCAUGUUCAGAAGUCUCUCAUCACAUGGUCUCCACUGAACACACCAUCCAUACCAAAUAUCCUACACUGAUCAAUCUUGUGCAUGGAAAAUCAUGGAAACUAUUCCUUGUAUCUGGAUUCAAGCAUCCUCAGUGCUCCUUGCAUAUCAGACACCUUCUUCCAGAUGCCUAUUAUAACAAUUUUGCCCACCAAUAGCUCCUUCUGCCAAUUUCUUUCUCUCUUUCCAUCUCAAAGGAGUCCCCCAAAGUAGUGCGGCUCAGAUCGCAGCAUCCUUUAGUACUUCCACUUCCUAGCUCAGCCUUUCCCAAUCCGGUGCCUUGCAGAUGUUGUUGGACUCCAGCUCCCCUCAGCCCAGUUGGUGAGGCCAGUGGUCAUGGGUGCUGAGAGCUGUAGUUCAAAACAUCUGGAAUACACCAGGAUGGGGAAGGCUGUCUAUGCCACUUGCCUUCCCUCAAAACAGCAGGUAUCUUGACCCUAGGCUCUUUAUGUGGAUUUUAGUACAAGUGGCCAUCCCACACUGGACUGCCUUGGCUCUCCUCAUGGGUCUGCAAAUGUUUAAACGACCACCCUCCCAAAAAUUAGCACGACUCAGCCCCCCAGAAUUGUAUAAGCAGCCCCUAAUCAUCAUAGAUGCAAC